This 2954-nucleotide long non-coding RNA is filed under the name Homo sapiens (human). RNAcentral's name for it is "HSALNT0238206". Lineage: Eukaryota; Metazoa; Chordata; Mammalia; Primates; Hominidae. The record is from RNAcentral.
UGAUUUUCAAGGCUACUGUGGAGCUGAGAAGAAAAUGGGGACAGGACAAGUUAAAACACCACAAACCUUAUUGAUCAUACGGAAAGUCAGCUUUUUUCUCAAAUACAUUUUCUUUGGGUUGUUGCAAUCGUUUGGUUAAUUUCCAGAGUUUAAAAAAGUUUAUUUUGAUCAUUCCUGCCAGUGUCCUCAUUGAUUUUAUGCAGAAUCAGAUAUUCAAAGAUCCAUACUCCACCAUUCUGGAAAUGUUUCUCUACGAUUUUUUUUAAUGGGAUAUAUAGGAUUUCUCUUAAAUUAAUAUAAGCAGCAUCUACUACAUUCACUUAGAACACUAGAUAUUACCACCCAUGAUAGACCAUCUAAAUGAGAAAACUGCUUCUCUUCUCAAAUUUCAUAGAAUGUCCAUGCUGGUUUCCAAAGCACAUGGCAUCUACCUUCAGUAAGCAACACAGAAUAUUAGAACACCAGAGUUCAAGUUCGUAUCUAUACACUCUUCAGCUCCAACUAAGAGGGCCUAAGGGACAGACUGUUCAUCAAUGACUGUAGACUAAUGGUUUUCACCCCUUCAGGCCCACAGCCACUUUUUAUCAGAAAUAUUUUUAAACAUGUUUUAUUAUUCUAAAACACAAACAAUAUAACUUACGUGAGGCAUAUUUUUAAAUCAUCUAUCAUGAUUAAAGGUAUCUUUAAUAUCUAACUGUAAUGUAACAGACAAAUAAAAGGAAGCAACUUACGGUAAUGUGUAAUUCAAACUGGAGAUGGCCAAAACUCCUGAUGACACAAUCAUUAGAUGCUUGCACAUGUACAUAUAAUUACCAUUAAUGUGCCCACUACAAAUGCAGACUACUGCAGUAGUUUUGACCUGGAACUCAAAUGCCAUGAGCAAUGUUGCCACUAGUGACAGUUUUUAAAAUGAUAGAAAACUCUUGGUUACGUACUGAACAAAGACUACGACCUUCCCUCACUUAACUGGUAAUUGCAUUUUUGAGCAAAUCAAGUACUGCAGAUCUACAACAAAAAUAUAAAAUGGAGUUAUAAUCUAAGCUCAAAAAAUUAUUGUCAAUGUCCACCCGUCAGAGAUCAUGAGGAACAGAUCUGCAGUUGAAUCGAGUUGGGUUUAUCAGCACACUUUUACACAAGAGAGAUCACACACCAUGGGGAACCAUGGGGUGCCUCAGUAUGAGGGUGCUGGGAAGGGCUUUUUAAAGGAUUUGGGGUUGUGUUGGGUGAUUUCAAGAAGGGCUCCAUGAAUCAUGGUUUUACUCUGGAUUAAGUGCUUUCAGAAAGCAAGGGAAAUUCUAAAUGAGUGUAAAUAUUGAAAUUUUUAAUCUAGGAGGAAGAAGGAACAGAGUGAUCUAAUGGGUAAUGGAGCAAAUAUCACACAUAUAAGCCAAGAGACAAGAAUGUUUGGUCGCUCUAUGAUUUACACAGAAUCUUGCUAAGUUCCAACAUGCCUAUGGAGUGUCUUAAUUUUUGUCUUCCUCCACCACACUCAGAGUGGACUUGUCAGAUGUUGGUGUUAUAUAACAUUGUUUAUAUUCAACAGAAUAUAAUAGCCUAGCCAUUAGGGCUAAAUCAGCUUCCAGCUGACAGCUGUAGGGGUUGCUCUUCCUUUCUCAUUAUAAACAGGAUUUCUAUGUACAUAAUUAUUCAGCGAGGUUCAAAGAAGUCAUGAGAUACAGGACAAUUCUUUGUUGUCUAAAACUGUCCUAUGCUCUUCAGGCACCUAGCAUCUCUAUUCACUUUCACUCACAUUUCAUUGGCCAUUGUUAACCACAUGGCCUCAAAUUAAUUAAGGAAGCUGAGAAAUGUAGAACAAAUGGAAUGUUUAGUGAGCAUUACUAUCUCUACUACAUGCAACCUUCAAUAAAUUAUUUUACUUCUCUCAGUAUUAGUUACCUACCUGUAACAUGAGGUUACAUGGUACAUAAUGGUCAUUCUUCCCUCUUGGGGAGAAUCACAUGAGAUAAUACAUAAAGGAACUUUAAUAAGCUCUAAGAGUUAUAUAGAUUUAAAAGGCCCAUAGUACCUAUAUGUUGGAGUUAAUGUGCCAUCACUUCUACACACACACACACACACACACACACACACACACACAUACACCCUUACCUAUUUAGAGGUCUGGGUCAAAGAAUACAUACUCUGGGGGAUGUAGAAUUAGAAUGUGAUUUUACUAGGGCCAGGCGUGGUGGCUCACACCUGUAAUCCCAGCACUUUGGGAGGCCAAGACAGGCAGAUCACCUGAGGUCGGGAGUUCAAGACUAGCCUGACCAACACAGAGAAACCCUGUAUCUACUAAAAAUUUCCUGGAAGUGUAUCCAUUGGCCCAAACUUGGUGAUGUGGCCACACCAAGAUACAGCGAUAAAAUCUAGGAAAAGUUUUAUCUUUAUUCCAGGAUGCCAUUCCCUAGCUAAUUAGGUGGGAAAUCUGUAGAAGGAGAAAAACGAGUAUUAGGGAAUACAGGGUAGCUCCUACCACAUGCAUAUUCUAAAAUUCAUUGUUACUUGGUUUAGGAUGCAGUUCAAAUAACACAGUUACCUAAAGAACUACACCAAUGUAUCCUUUGUUAGACUCUCAACCCUAAAGAUUUAGGUUAGAUCUUUCAGAUUGUAUUUUAAAAUGUCUUUAGUGCAGUAUCAAUUCUCACCAGACAGAACAGCUAAGUAAAAUAAACAAGCUCUUAACAAAUUAUUAAUUUUUAAGAAAGGAAAGGGCAUUUAGAGCAAAUAUUUUCUCUAAAAAAUACUAAUAUAUCAUGUUUUAUAUCCUACAGAUAUUCCUGCAAUCUGUUUUCCUUGGGAAAGUCACUCAAUAACCUGAAGUUCAGUUAUAUCAUCUAAAGUAUUACAUAUUUAUCAUGAGGGUUAAAUGAGAUUACACAUGUCAAAUGCCUUGUAAAUAGUAGAAUUUUAUACAAAUAUAAAGUUUUGCACCUUCAAAGCUAUCACUCCAAUAA